CAAUAGCGUAUAUUAAAGUUGUUGCAGUUAAGAAGCUCGUAGUUGGAUUUCGGGGUGGCCUGGCUGGUCCGCCGCAAGGUGAGUACUGGUCAGCCGCCCUUCCUCUCGAAAGCCCCGACUGCUCUUUACUGCAGUGGUCGGGUAGUUCGGGACGUUUACUUUGAAAAAAUUAGAGUGUUCAAGGCAGGCUAUCGCCUGAAUACAUUAGCAUGGAAUAAUGGAAGAGGACCUCGGUCCUAUUUUGUUGGUUUCUAGGGCCGAAGUAAUGAUUAAGAGGGACAGUUGGGGGCAUUCGUAUUUAAUUGUCAGAGGUGAAAUUCUUGGAUUUAUGAAAGACGAACUAGUGCGAAAGCAUUUGCCAAGGAUGUUUUCAUUAA
RNAcentral lists this ribosomal RNA (377 nucleotides) under uncultured eukaryote. Its description in RNAcentral is "partial 18S ribosomal RNA". It matches the Rfam family "Eukaryotic small subunit ribosomal RNA", at positions 592 to 976 of the family's 1831-position model. The record is from RNAcentral.